GGCCAUAUCACGCUGAAGUACCGAUUCUCAUACGAUCACCGCAGUUAAGCAAUGUUGUGCUUGGUCAGUAUCUAGAUGGGUGAUCGUUUGUGAAUACCAGGUGCAGUAGG
Non-coding RNA from Acanthosepion pharaonis, 110 nucleotides. The record is from the annotation of a GenBank genome assembly. Lineage: Eukaryota; Metazoa; Mollusca; Cephalopoda; Sepiida; Sepiidae.